Callithrix jacchus (white-tufted-ear marmoset) is the source of this 101-nucleotide non-coding RNA. The record is from Rfam. Lineage: Eukaryota; Metazoa; Chordata; Mammalia; Primates; Cebidae.
ACCUGCUUCCACAGUACAAACUAAAAUGGGAAGGAUACCGCGAUGAUCAGCAUGGCCCCUGUACUACAAUGACAUGAAUUUGUGAGGCAUUUCGCGUUGUU